Non-coding RNA from Helianthus annuus (common sunflower), 187 nucleotides. Lineage: Eukaryota; Viridiplantae; Streptophyta; Magnoliopsida; Asterales; Asteraceae. The record is from Rfam.
UCAAAGAGAAGAGAGCUGUCUUCAAUCCAUUCAUGGGUUGUGGUAAGAUUUCAAUUAGCUGCCGACUCAUUCAUCCAAAUACCGAGUCAAAAGCAUGGCACUCGGUAAAUGAGUGAAUGAUGCGGGAGACAAAUUGGAUCUUAAACUCCUUGCGGUUGGACUGAAGGGAGCUCCCUUCAUAUUUUCA